GUUGUACUCCCUCCGUUCAGAAAUACUUGUCAUCAAAAUAAAUAAAAGAGGAUGUAUCUAGAUGUAUUUUAGAUCUAGAUACAUCUUUUUUUUUCAUUUUGAUGACAAGUAUUUUCGAACGGGGGAGUAAUUG
Molecule: non-coding RNA, 133 nt
Organism: Triticum aestivum (bread wheat)
Lineage: Eukaryota; Viridiplantae; Streptophyta; Magnoliopsida; Poales; Poaceae
Source: Rfam